UUCCUUCCCCUCCCCUCUCACUGUUGUUCAUCAGGAUUGUCGCAACUACCUGCGUCUUGGUUCCGGUUCAACCUUCUGACCGCAGGGCAUUGCUUCUACUGCAAAGAUUAACACUAUACUUCAACCAAACAUGUACACCUUGCAGUCUAGGCAUUGUUUUAUAUUAUUCCCAUAUAUCAAUAUGAGUUCACACAACACUGAUGGCCGACAACCUUCUCUACCCUUGGAUUAGGAUCCCACAUAUGAUUGAUGGGUGAAGAUUUUUUUCUCUACACUUGCAUCAAGCUAAUUUUUAUCAUUGUAGAACUUCAGUCAAGAAGACAGUUAACUUAUAUUUUGUUUUCAUUUAGAAUAUGGUUUGUCAAUUCUAGCUUAUAAGCCUUUUAUAUGGAAUUCCAUGGAUCCUAUAUUUCUAUUCAGACAACAUUGGCAGCCUUUAAUUC
This is a long non-coding RNA of Triticum aestivum (bread wheat), 443 nucleotides long. RefSeq lists it as uncharacterized. The transcript has 2 exons. The record is from RefSeq and is a predicted model, not a curated record. NCBI's taxonomy places the organism in Eukaryota, Viridiplantae, Streptophyta, Magnoliopsida, Poales, Poaceae.